UCCCUGGUGGUCUAGUGGCUUAGGAUGAGAUCUUGUGUUCUCACUGCCAUGGCCUGGGUUGGAUUCUUGGCCAGGGAA
RNAcentral lists this transfer RNA (78 nucleotides) under Pangasianodon hypophthalmus (striped catfish). RNAcentral describes it as "tRNA-Glu". Lineage: Eukaryota; Metazoa; Chordata; Actinopteri; Siluriformes; Pangasiidae. The record is from RNAcentral.